GGACCUGCCCAGUGAGUUUUAAACGGCCGCGGUACUCUGACCGUGCAAAGGUAGCAUAAUCAUUUGCCUUAUAAUUGAAGGCUGGAAUGAAUGGUUUGACAAGAAUACCCCUGUCUCCUUUAGAUUAUUUAGAACUUUAUUUUUGGAUGAAAAAGUCCAGAUAUAAUUAAUAGACAAGAAGACCCUAUCGAGCUUUAGAGAAAUUAGUAAACUCAAUAUAAGUCAAUAUAAGUAAAAGAAAGGUUACUAAACACUUUGGUUGGGGCAACCGAGGAGCAGACAAAGCCUCCUUUGAUCUAUAAAUCUUACUUGUGUUGAUCCAAUAAUUUUGAUCAAAGGAAUUAGUUACCGUAGGGAUAACAGCAUAAUCUUUUUCAAGAGCCCAUAUCGAAAAAAAGGUUUGUGACCUC
This 410-nucleotide ribosomal RNA is filed under the name Conus nux. RNAcentral describes it as "partial 16S ribosomal RNA". It matches the Rfam family "Bacterial large subunit ribosomal RNA", at positions 1854 to 2527 of the family's 2925-position model. The record is from RNAcentral. Lineage: Eukaryota; Metazoa; Mollusca; Gastropoda; Neogastropoda; Conidae.